CUUACUGCCAAUCAGCGGUUGCCGCUGCCCAAGCCCUAUCUCCGGGACGCCGCUCACGCAGUGAACCAUCCUGUCUAGAGAGGCGGAUGAACUCCGGUUUCGAAGUCCACCUUUUAGGGGCGGAGGAAAAAAGAGCGGCACAAAGAAGUCGAGUCUCUUCCGCUGAGAGGAGGGCUCUGCGACCGCGCUGCGCCGCGCCGCCGUGACGACAUCCUUCCGCGCCCGAAGCCGAGCGUCCUCAGCGGCGGGUGGCGGGCGCCUGCGCAGUGGCUCCGAGCGGGCGGUUGCUUGUUGGUUGUUGUAGUAACGGGGGAAGCAGCCGUCGGCGGCGGCCGUGAGCCCGGCUGGGGAAGGAGGACGGAGGAAACUGUGCCACCCAAAUUGAUUGAUCCAGUGAAUCUGCAAGGAAAGGUCUCUGAGGCCCCCGUCUGCUGACUGUAUGACAACCCCUAAAGGAAAUGCCAGUCGUGAUGGCCCGGGACCUGGAGGAAACAGCAUCAUCCUCAGAGGAUGAGGAGGUGGUAAGCCAAGAGGAUCAUCCAUGUAUCAUGUGGACUGGAGGCUGCAGGAGAAUUCCAGUUUUGGUGUUCCAUGCUGAUGCUAUUCUGACAAAGGACAACAAUAUUCGAGUAAUUGGAGAACGUUAUCAUUUGUCUUACAAGAUUGUACGAACAGACAGUCGCCUGGUGCGCAGCAUUCUGACAGCCCAUGGAUUUCAUGAAGUUCACCCAAGCAGCACUGACUAUAACCUAAUGUGGACAGGAUCCCACCUGAAGCCCUUCUUACUUCGUACCCUCUCUGAAGCACAAAAGGUUAAUCACUUUCCCAGGUCGUAUGAACUAACCCGGAAGGACCGACUGUACAAAAACAUCAUUCGAAUGCAGCAUACGCAUGGAUUCAAGGCUUUCCACAUCCUGCCUCAGACCUUCCUGCUGCCGGCUGAGUAUGCGGAAUUCUGUAAUUCAUAUUCAAAGGACCGGGGACCUUGGAUAGUAAAACCAGUGGCCUCUUCUAGGGGGCGGGGCGUCUACCUGAUCAACAAUCCAAACCAGAUUUCCCUGGAAGAGAACAUCCUGGUCUCUCGUUACAUCAGCAACCCCCUGCUCAUAGAUGAUUUCAAAUUUGAUGUGCGCCUCUAUGUGCUUGUGACUUCCUAUGAUCCUCUUGUCAUCUAUCUCUAUGAAGAAGGAUUGGCUAGGUUUGCAACCGUGCGAUAUGAUCAAGGAGCCAAGAACAUUCGGAACCAGUUCAUGCACCUGACAAACUACAGUGUGAACAAGAAGAGUGGAGACUAUGUCAGUUGUGAUGACCCGGAAGUGGAGGAUUAUGGGAACAAAUGGAGCAUGAGUGCUAUGCUGAGGUAUCUGAAACAAGAAGGCAGAGAUACAACUGCGUUGAUGGCCCAUGUAGAAGACCUGAUCAUUAAGACUAUAAUCUCUGCCGAACUAGCUAUUGCUACGGCCUGUAAAACCUUUGUUCCUCAUCGCAGCAGUUGUUUUGAACUCUAUGGCUUUGAUGUGCUCAUAGAUUCUACUCUGAAGCCAUGGUUGUUGGAAGUGAAUCUCUCUCCUUCUUUGGCCUGUGAUGCACCUCUGGACCUAAAGAUUAAAGCCAGUAUGAUUUCAGAUAUGUUCACUGUUGUAGGAUUUGUGUGCCAGGAUCCUGCCCAGCGGGCAUCAACCCGGCCAAUUUAUCCCACCUUUGAGUCUUCCAGGAGAAACCCUUUCCAGAAACCUCAGCGUCCGGUAUCUGCACAGUUUCAGUCAUGUUUCAACGCCAAACAGCGUUCCCGUCCACUCUCUGCCAGUGAUGCGGAAAUGAAAAACCUUGUGGCCUCAGCCCGGGAGAAGGUGCCGGGGAAGUUAGGUGGUUCUGUGCUUGGUCUGUCAAUGGAGGAGAUCAGAGUUUUACGGAGGGUAAAGGAAGAGAAUGAUCGGAGAGGUGGAUUUAUUCGCAUAUUCCCUACAUCAGAGACAUGGGAAAUAUAUGGGUCCUACCUCGAACACAAGACCUCCAUGAACUAUAUGCUGGCGACACGUCUAUUCCAGGACAGGGGACACCCAAGAAGAAGCUUAUUGACAGGAAGAACACGGAUGACUGCUGAUGGAGCACCGGAAUUGAAGGUAGAGAGUAUGAAUUCAAAGGCCAAGAUACAUGCUGCUCUUUAUGAGAGAAAGCUCCUGUCUUUGGAGGUGCGAAAACGUAGACGUCGGAGUGGCAGAUUGAGGUCAUUGAGGCGAAAAUACCCAGUGAUUACCCAACCAGCUGAAAUGAAUGUUAAAACUGAGACAGAGAGUGAAGAGGAGGAAGAAGAUGCAUUAGACAAUGAAGAUGAAGAACAGGAAGCUUCCCAGGAGGAGUCUGCAGGGUCCCUUGGAGAAAAUCAAGCCAAAUACACACCCUCAUUGACCAUUAUGGUAGAAAAUUCACCCAAAGAAAAUGCCGUGAAAGUUCCUGAAUGGAAUAACAAAGGUGAACAGUGCCACAAAAUUGAGACUCAGGAGUCAGAGCCUAAAUUUAACUUGAUGCAGAUUCUGCAAGAUAAUGGCAAUCUUAGCAAAGUGCAGGCCCGAAUAGCAUUCUCUGCCUAUCUCCAGCAUGUUCAAAUUCGCCUGAUGAAAGACAGUGGAGGUCAGACGUUCAGUGCCAGUUGGGCUGCCAAAGAGGAUGAACAGAUGGAGCUGGUGGUUCGUUUCCUCAAGCGAGCAUCAAGUAACCUCCAGCACUCACUGAGGAUGGUAUUACCCAGUCGACGACUGGCACUUCUGGAACGUAGAAGAAUCCUGGCCCACCAGCUGGGUGACUUUAUCAUUGUGUACAACAAGGAAACAGAACAAAUGGCUGAAAAGAAAUCAAAGAAGAAACUUGAAGAAGAAGAGGAAGAUGGGGUGAAUAUGGAAAACUUUCAGGAGUUCAUCAAACAAGCAAGUGAGGCUGAACUGGAGGAGGUGCUGACUUUUUAUACCCAAAAAAACAAGUCUGCAAGUGUCUUCCUGGGGACUCACUCAAAAAGCUCUAAAAACAGCAACAGCUAUUCUGAUAGCAGGGCAAAGGGUGAUCACCCUGAGACGAUGGAAGAAGUGAAAAUAAAGCAACCCAAACAGCAACAGGCAACAGAAAUUCACUCUGAUAAGUUAUCUCGAUUUACCACUUCAGCAGAAAAAGAGGCUAAAUUAGUCUAUACCAAUUCUUCCUCUACUUCUUUCUCUGGUCCUGCUGCUACUCUUCUGCAGAAAAUUCCCAGCACCCAUUUGUCAUCUCUUGUUACAACCUCUGACCUCUCCCCAAGGCCUGGCCACCAUUCUUUAUCUCAGAUUCCUCCAGCUAUCCCCAGCAUGCCUCACCAGCCCACAAUUUUACUGAACACAGUUCCUGACAUUGCUUCUCCCUCCAUAUAUCCUGGGACACAGAACGUACCAAGCCCUGCUGGCCUGCCACGCUGUCGAUCAGGCAGUUACACCAUUGGCCCCUUUUCCUCUUUCCAAAGCGCUGCACACAUCUAUAGCCAGAAACUGUCUCGACCCUCUUCAGCAAAGGCAGCAGGUUCGUGCCAUCCAAUCAAGCAGCAUUCAGGAGUAGCCAAAACACAGGAGGGAGAAGAUGGUUCUUCGCACAGCAAACGGUACAACCAAAGUAUGGUGACAGCUGAACUUCAGCGGCUGGCCGAGAAGCAGGCAGCAAGGCAGUAUUCUCCAUCCACACACAUCAGUCUCCUCACCCAGCAGGUAACAAACCUGAAUUUGACAAGUGGCGUCAUAAACAGAAGCAGUGCUUCAACUCCCCCCACCCUUCGGCCUGUGAUCAGUCCUAGUGGCCCGACAUGGUCAAUACAGUCAGACUCCCAUGCUCCUGAGAGCCACUCCAGCCCUCCUGGAAGCAGGAGCCUCCAAACAGGUGGCUUUGCCUGGGAGGGAGAGGUAGAGAACAACGCGUACAGCAAGGCUACAGGGGUGGUCCCCCAGCACAAGUAUCACCCCACAGCGGGCAGCUACCAGCUCCACUUUGCCCUGCAGCAGCUCGAACAACAAAAACUUCAGUCCCGGCAGCUUCUGGACCAGAGUCGUGCCAGGCACCAGGCAAUCUUUGGCAGCCAGACACUACCUAACUCCAAUUUAUGGACAAUGAAUAAUGGUGCAGCUUGCAGAAUUUCAAGUGCCACAGCUAGUGGCCAGAAGCCAACCACUCUGCCCCAAAAAGUGGUGCCAUCUCCAAGUUCUUCCUCCUCCCUGGUCCCCAAACCCCCAUCCAAUCACAAACAAGUUCUCAGAAAGGCAACAUCCCAGAGGACUUCCAAGCAGGACUGUGGGAAAACCGGAAACAGCUCAGCACCAAAAAUGCACAGAAGGGGAGAAAACGCAAGAUUUCUUCAGAAUUUAAGAAAUAUAAUCCAAGUAUCAAAAGGCAUGCUGUGAGGCGUUGUUCCAGGAAAUAGUUUCCAAUUUGCCUUUAAAACUCUAGCACAAGUCUCUGAAGCUAAAUAAGUUAGCACUAAUGGAGACCUUACCGUUCUCCCACUUACAUGGAAAAUGUACAGUGUUAUGAGGGCCCCACUGCUUUCAAUAUUCUCCUGACUUUUAGGAAAAAGAAUAGCAUUAUUUUUAUUUGAACUGAUGCAGUGAAAAGUUCCAUCUAUGAGAUAUCCAGAUAAAGCUUUUUUUAAAUAACCGUUUUAUUUUAGAAUAAUUUUAGAUUUACAGAAAAGUUGUAAAGAUAGUACACAUAAAGGUGAGUACACUCAGUUUUCCCUGUUGUUAACAUCUGAUAUUGCCAUGGUAGGUUUGAAGAAUGUACAGCACUAAGAAACUGUCAUUGGUAGAUUGCUAUAAAUUAAACUCUGUCCUUUUUUGGAUUGAUGAAGUUAUUCUUAAUCUAGAGAAACUUUUCAUGGCUCCUGAAAUCAGGAUUCUGAGUAUCAGUUGAUAUAUUCUUAUUGUUCUAAAGUAAUUAAUGUUCCUAGCCAGCAUGGCGAGUUACUUAAUAUCUUUGUGACUCAGUUUCAUGUUUUUUUGUUUUUUUUUUGUUUUUGGUGAGGAAGACUGGCCCUGAGCUAGUAUCCGUUGCCAAUCUUCCUCUUUUUGCUUGAGGAAGAUUACCCCUGAGCUAACGUCUGUGCCCAUCUUCCUCUAUUUUGUAUGUGGGACACCUCCACAGCAUGGCUUGAUGAGCAGUAUGUAGGUCUGCGCCCAGGAUUCAAACCAGCAAACACCGGGCCACCAAAGCGGAGCACAUGAACUAAACCACUACGCUAUCGGGCCAGCCCCUCAGUUUCCUAUUUUAAAAUAGGAAUAAUAAUAGUACAUGUCUCAUAGGGUUAUUAAGAGAAAUAAAUGAAUUAAUAAUGUCAAACACAAAUACAGUGCCUAGUACAUAAUAGACGUUAAAUUAGUUUUAGGUAUUAUUAUGAUUAAUACUGAGAUGACAUUUCAAGAAAUUUUCAGGUAAUUUUUUACUUUCUUCAUGAAAGAUGUGUUGCUUCAUUUACUUGGAGUUUAUUGCAGCCUUUCCUCUGGCUCCGUUCAGAUUAAUCAGGAGCCCUCGGCUGUGACUGGUGAGACUGAGUCACUCUCAGGAAUGCCAUUGUUGCCCCAAGAGACACGACUAAUGAGAAGUUGUAAUGAGCUUUUGACCGUGCCAAGCCCUGUGUUUUUGGGUUGAACUUCAAACUUCUCCUAGCACAGAAGUUGGCAUUGGACAAAUAUAGAAGCAAUUUCCAAGAGCAUCAAAGUUUCCACAUCCUAGAGGGUUGAGUUUAGAGAACAAUAGAACAUAAAAGAUGGAAUGUCAUUUGGAUUUUGGUGCAAAGGGAGUUGAGAGUCAGAACAGUGGGGUCCUAUUUCUUUAUGAUAAUAUUCAAGUCACUUUCCUUCUAAAGGUUUCAGUUUCCCAUCUGUAAAGCAAAAACCACUGUUCCCACUGAAUAAUUAACCAAAAUAACUUGUUUUCUGUCUAUUCCAUUGAAAGCCUUUUAUGAGCACAUUUGCUUUUUAAUCCUGAUGCUUUAAAGUCAUUUUCCUCAUCCCUUCUUGACCCAACAGUUCUUUGUUCUAGUUCUCAAGUUCAUAUACUUAGCUAAAUCUCAUUUGUCAUUUCUGUGAAAAGAUGAUUUAGAUUUUUUUUUUUUUACCUUUUCCGUAGUGCCAAUAGCCUUUCUUGAUUUUCCUUUCUAAUGUUUGCAACACUUCAUAAUUUAGUACCCACUUUAGAUCCUCCUUUCAAAACUAUUUGUGGUAUUUCUUCCAGGAAGUCAGCUGAACUAAGAAGGAUGACAGCCUCUGAACAACUACAUGCAUAUGUCUCUUCCUUGUAAAUGACCUUUUUUUCAGAGCCAGAAUCACACUGUCCAGGAAAUAUGGAGAAAGAAACCUGAGGAGAUUAAAGUUUGCCAGGGACAUGGGCAAAACUCAUAGACGAGAGAUGAAUUUGGAAGGGCAGGGUCAAAGCCUUUGUACCUUGGGACUGCUCUGAAGAAGGAAAACUGUGGGCUCCUCCACAGAAGGGCAGCUGAAUGGACUCCAGAGCAGCCUUAACUCUGCCGCCUUUGUGCCCAUCACCAGCUCCACAG
Diceros bicornis minor is the source of this 6562-nucleotide RNA transcript. It is a transcript of the gene named tubulin tyrosine ligase like 5, with no coding region annotated. The transcript is spliced from 34 exons. Lineage: Eukaryota; Metazoa; Chordata; Mammalia; Perissodactyla; Rhinocerotidae. The record is from RefSeq and is a predicted model, not a curated record.